AGAGUUUGAUCAUGGCUCAGAAUGAACGUUGGCGGCGUGGAUUAGGCAUGCGAGUCGUGCGAGAACCGUAGCAAUACGGGAACAGCGGCGAAAGGGAGAGGAACACGUGGAUACCUACCCUCAGGUUCAGGAUAGCUAUGGGAAACUAUAGGUAAUACUGAAUAAUAUCUCCGGAUCAAAGGUGUGAUUCCGCCGGAGGAGGGGUCCGCGUCCUAUUAGCUAGUUGGUGAGGUAAUGGCUCACCAAGGCGAAGAUGGGUACGGGAUGUGAGAGCAUGAUCCCGCUCAUUGGGACUGAGACACUGCCCAGACACCUACGGGUGGCUGCAGUCGAGAAUCUUCGGCAAUGGGGGAAACCCUGACCGAGCGACGCCGCGUGUGAGAUGAAGGCCUUCGGGUUGUAAAUCACUGUCGUAGAGGAGGAAGUGUAGGUGGGUUCUCCCACUUAUUUGACCUAUUCUAGGAGGAAGGACGGGCUAAGUUCGUG
Molecule: ribosomal RNA, 486 nt
Filed under: uncultured bacterium
Lineage: Bacteria
Description: bacterial SSU rRNA
Rfam family: Bacterial small subunit ribosomal RNA
Source: RNAcentral